GACGAACGCUAGCGGCGUGCCUAAUACAUGCAAGUAGAACGCACAGUUUAUACCGUAGCUUGCUACACCAUAGACUGUGAGUUGCGAACGGGUGAGUAACGCGUAGGUAACCUGCCUGGUAGCGGGGGAUAACUAUUGGAAACGAUAGCUAAUACCGCAUAAUAUUGAUUAUUGCAUGAUAAUUAAUUGAAAGGUGCAAUUGCACCACUACCAGAUGGACCUGCGUUGUAUUAGCUAGUAGGUGAGGUAACGGCUCACCUAGGCGACGAUACAUAGCCGACCUGAGAGGGUGAUCGGCCACACUGGGACUGAGACACGGCCCAGACUCCUACGGGAGGCAGCAGUAGGGAAUCUUCGGCAAUGGACGAAAGUCUGACCGAGCAACGCCGCGUGAGUGAAGAAGGUUUUCGGAUCGUAAAGCUCUGUUGUAAGAGAAGAACGGGUGUGAGAGUGGAAAGUUCACACUGUGACGGUAUCUUACCAGAAAGGGACGGCUAACUACGUG
Molecule: ribosomal RNA, 505 nt
Filed under: uncultured bacterium
Lineage: Bacteria
Description: partial 16S ribosomal RNA
Rfam family: Bacterial small subunit ribosomal RNA
Source: RNAcentral